AGGAGCAGCUCACCUCGGCACACAGGCACACACUUGCCCAAGCUGAAGAAGUGGGAGUGUAGCUCCUUGGUGAAGCAGAUGUCUGCAGCUGCAGGGGUCCUAAGCAGGGACAGAUGCAAUUAGUCCUGCCCCCUGCACCCGGCUCCACCACCCUGCCCCCAGCAUCAGCAUGCAGAAGGGAGGCACAGGGGAGGGCCUGCGGGGCCCCACCCCAUGCCCUGCCUGGACUGCUGGACGCCACCUCCUGGGCAGAGCAGGAGGAGGGCAAAUCUGGGCAGAGGCAGGUGGGGCCGGCCCGGCCCACUUCGAGGGGCCCAUUCCUCCUCACCAACGCAUCAACUUCAGGUUCCAGAUGUGGCGGAGUUUCAGGAUCCCUAGAGGACAGGAAAGGCUUCAUGCCCCAACUUCCCAUAUCCCCAGGGAGUGCCCUUCCUUCACCCCAUCUCAGGGAAUGAGGGACAGCAGCAGUACCAUUUCCCUACAGCCCAAAGUGGCAUCUUUCAGACCCUUAGGCCAGAUCAUUCAGUUCUCCCUGGCUCCUCCCUCUCCCCCACCCUCCACAUCUUACUAAUCACUGCACCUGGACUGCCUACCUCCCCAACAUACUUGGACAAUGCCCAUUCUUCUAUACUUCUCCCUGUACUGUCACUGCAACCAGCCCAGUCUAGGCUAGUGGAUGGCUCCAAGUCCUCCUUCCUGGCCUCCCAGGAUCCACCUGUGACAUCUAUAGGCCUUUCUCCACCCAGCAGCCAGGGUGAGCUCUGAAGGGCUCCAGUGUGGCUAGGUGGCUCCCCAUGAACUCUAGGACAGUCUAAGCCCUCUGUUCAGGAGUGGAAGCCCCGGGCACCCCUCCACCCGGCCAUCUGGUUACCAGAGCCAAGCAACUUCCUGUAAAGUCAGCAGAGCAGGAACCUCUAGGUGUGGCAACCAGGCUCCUAAAUAGGGCUGAACGGUACACGCCCAGCCAGGGGCAAACCUGAAGCCAGGACACUGGGCUUCCAGUCCCUGGCCCAGAACUUCCUCACAGGAUAUCCUAUGUCCAACCCCCAAAUUUUUCCCAAGACUGUGGGGCCCUGGUUGGUUUAGAGAACAGAGGGUUCUGGAGGCCUGACGUUAAAGGAGCUGUAAGAUAUGCCCUGUGGCCGUUCCUUGGUCCUGCUCCAUGCCCAAGGCCCUCUCCAAAUCAUGCUCCCUCAGGGAUGCUGCAGGAGCCACAAAUCCAAGUCUCAGCCCUGGGGCAGAACACCCGGAAAUCGGAGGGCCAGGGCUCCAUGAAAAGGCAGCGAGAAGGGGUUUGUUCUGACGAGGCUGGGCCCGUCCCGAAUCCUCGCCUUUCCUCCCGCUGCCCAGCACACUGGCCCGGGUACCCCAGAGAUGAGGGUCGUCCAUGCAGGACUGGUGAUUGGACACGGUGAUGAGGGGCGUGGCCGGGCCUCGGUUCUCGAUGAGCUCGUACAGCACCUCCUUGUUGUGCACGGUCAGGUGGUUCAUGUACUCUGGCGGGGAAGGAGAGGUCAGGCGCUCAGGGCUCGCCCGCUAGGUCGGGGCCGCGGCGUCCCCCACCCUAAGUCCCACCUCCGGCCGGGCAUGGGUACCCGGGCGGGCCUGCCUCGGCCUGGGCCCACUCACUGGUCCAGAAGCAGCUGUAGGUGCCCACCAAGCCCAUGACGACGCUGCUGGCCAGGGUCCAGCCUUCUAUCACCACGUCGAACCCAUUAGCUACAGCCAUCCCAUGAGAAGCUGAGUGGAUUCAGCCCCACCUCCUGCUCACAGACCCUGUCCGAGCACCUCAUUCGUCCCAACAGCGUCACUGCAGGACCCCCAGGACGUUGGACUGCCAGCUCCCUGGGUCUCCUCCUCUCUGGGGCAGAUCCUCAGUCCUCCCUUGACUUCACGACUAUGGCCAGAUCAUGUGUGGACUGUCCCUCUCUUUGGGUCUCCAGAGCGCUUGCAUCAAACACCCCUAACUCAGAAGUGUGCAGCCACACUGGGACUCAGAACCCAACAACAGGGACAGAAGACUCACGCCCUUGGGGUGCCCGGUCUCGUGGCAUCAGGCAUGACUUCCAGCUCCUGCGCCUUCCCCAGCAACUGCUGACUGGGGACCCAGACCGGGAGCUGAGCGACGGGCCUGGCGAGCGAAGCUCGGGGUCUCACUCAGGCACCAGCCCCUCCUUGCCCCAGGCCCUUGGCACAGCCCUAUUCAGGCAGGAGCUGCUCUUCUGGGGUAUCGCGAUCCACUUAAGGAUGAGGCAGACUUGGUGACAAGCUGGUCUGAGCAGCGCUUCCAGAGCCAGAACUGAGCCCAGUGAGAGCGCACCCUGGGGCAGCCUGGAUUCCUGGGGUGUCCCCGGCAGCCACACACAGCCAUGCACUACCCAACUGCACUCCUCUUCCUCAUCCUGGCCAAUGGGGCCCAGGCCUUUCGCAUCUGCGCCUUCAAUGCCCAGCGGCUGACGCUGGCCAAGGUGGCCAGGGAGCAGGUGAUGGACACCUUAGUUCGGAUACUGGCUCGCUGUGACAUCAUGGUGCUGCAGGAGGUGGUGGACUCUUCUGGCAGCGCCAUCCCCCUCCUGCUUCGAGAACUC
RNAcentral lists this long non-coding RNA (2588 nucleotides) under Pan troglodytes (chimpanzee). RNAcentral describes it as "long non-coding RNA NONPTRT018568". Lineage: Eukaryota; Metazoa; Chordata; Mammalia; Primates; Hominidae. The record is from RNAcentral.